This is a non-coding RNA of Microcebus murinus (gray mouse lemur), 4822 nucleotides long. The record is from RefSeq and is a predicted model, not a curated record. Lineage: Eukaryota; Metazoa; Chordata; Mammalia; Primates; Cheirogaleidae.
CCGGAGCGAGCAGCCGCCCGCGAGCCGCCGCGGAGCCUCCUCGCCCGCUGCCUCCGGCGAGCAAGAUGAUGUGCGAGGUGAUGCCGACCAUCAGUGAAGCAGAAGGCCCCCCAGGAGGAAGUGGGAGCCAUGGAUCCGGCUCCCCUUCACAGCCAGAUGCAGAUUCACAUUUUGAACAGUUGAUGGUCUCCAUGCUAGAAGAAAGGGAUUGUCUUCUGGACACACUCAGAGAGACUCAAGAAACAUUGGCACUAACCCAGGGGAAAUUACACGAGGUUGGUCAUGAAAGAGAUUCCUUACAGAGACAGCUCAACACUGCACUUCCACAGGAGUUCGCAGCACUUACUAAAGAACUCAAUGUAUGCAGGGAACAGCUCCUUGAAAGGGAAGAAGAAAUUGCUGAACUGAAAGCAGAAAGGAACAACACCAGGUUGCUGUUGGAGCACUUGGAAUGCCUCCUCUCUAGGCACGAGCGGUCCCUCAGGAUGACCGUGGUAAAGAGACAAGCUCAGUCCCCAGCAGGCGUGUCCAGCGAAGUGGAAGUGCUUAAAGCACUGAAGUCAUUAUUUGAACACCACAAAGCUCUGGAUGAAAAGGUGAGAGAACGGUUACGAGUAGCACUUGAAAGAUGUAGUUUGUUAGAAGAAGAAUUAGGUGCCACACACAAAGAGCUAAUGAUUCUUAAAGAACAGAAUAAUCAGAAGAAAACACUAACAGAUGGAGUGGUUGACAUAAACCAUGAACAAGAGAGCACGCCGAGUACGAACGGAAAGAGAUCUUCUGAUGGGUCUUUGAGCCAUGAGGAAGACCUUGCUAAGGUAAUUGAGCUGCAGGAAACCAUAAGCAAGCAGUCAAGGGAGCAGAGCCAGAUGAAGGAGCGCCUGGCUGCUCUUUCCAGUCACGUGGCAGAGCUGGAAGAGGAUCUUGACACUGCUAGAAAAGAUCUCAUCAAAUCUGAAGAAAUGAACACAAAAUUGCAACGAGAUGUCCGUGAAGCCAUGGCCCAGAAGGAAGACAUGGAAGAGAGAAUCACCACUCUUGAAAAACGCUACCUCGCUGCACAGCGUGAAGCCACAUCUGUGCAUGACCUCAAUGACAAACUUGAAAAUGAAAUUGCAAAUAAAGAUUCUAUUCAUCGACAGACUGAAGAUAAAAACCGCCAGUUACAAGAACGCCUGGAGUUGGCAGAGCAGAAGCUGCAGCAGACUCUGAGAAAAGCCGAAACGCUCCCCGAGGUGGAGGCCGAGAUGGCCCAGAGAGUGGCCGCCCUUUCCAAGGCUGAAGAGAGACACGGCAACAUUGAAGAAAGGUUACGACAGAUGGAAGCGCAUUUAGAGGAAAAGAAUCAAGAACUGCAGCGGACAAGGCAGAGAGAAAAAAUGAAUGAAGAACAUAAUAAACGUUUAUCAGACACUGUCGACAAGCUUCUCUCAGAGUCUAACGAGCAGCUUCAGCUCCACUUGAAGGAGAGGAUGGCUGCUUUGGAAGACAAGAAUUCUCUAUUACAAGAAGUUGAAAAUGCAAAAAAGCAAUUAGAAGAAACGCAACAUGAUAAGGAUCAGCUCAGUUGAUCUGCUGUCGCCCAGUGGGCAGGCCGAUGCACAGACGUUAGCCAUGAUGCUUCAGGAGCAGCUGGACGCCAUCAACAAAGAGAUAAGGUUGAUACAAGAAGAAAAGGAAAACACAGAGCAGCGAGCAGAGGAGAUUGAAAGUAGAGUUGGUAGUGGAAGUUUAGACAAUCUUGGUCGUUUUAGAUCAAUGAGCUCCAUUCCCCCAUAUCCUGCCUCCUCGCUUGGCGGCUCCUCCCCCCCAGGCAGCGGUCGCUCCACCCCAAGGAGGAUCCCGCACAGCCCAGCCAGGGAGGUGGACAGACUGGGCAUCAUGACUCUAUUGCCAUAUUCCAGAGAAGAGGUACGAGAUGAUAAGACAACAAUAAAAUGUGAAACCUCCCCCCCUGCCUCCCCCGGGUCCCUCCGGCUAGACAGGCCACAGAAAGGAGCGCUGCACACAGUCAGCCAUGAGGACAUCAGGGACAUGAGAAACUCCACAGGCUCGCAGGAUGGCCCUGUGAGCAAUCCCAGCAGCAGCAACAGGAGCCAGGACUCGCUGCACAAAGCCCCAAAGAAGAAGGGCAUCAAGUCCUCUAUUGGCCGCUUGUUUGGCAAGAAAGAAAAGGGCCGGCCUGGACCAGCUGGCAAAGCCUCGUUAGAGCAAGCUGGUGUUUCAGAGACAGAGAACUAAUCUCCAGAUGCCUUGGGACUUAGCAAAUUGGGAGGACAGGCUGAAAAAAGUCGUAAACUUCAAAAACACGAAUUGCUACAGGAAGCCCGGAGACAAGGUUUACCUUUUGCCCAGUGGGAUGGACCAACUGUUGUCAUUUGGCUGGAGCUGUGGGUGGGGAUGCCAGCCUGGUACGUGGCCGCCUGCCGAGCAAAUGUGAAGAGCGGCGCCAUCAUGUCGGCCCUGUCGGACACGGAGAUCCAGCGGGAGAUAGGCAUCAGCAACCCCCUGCACAGGCUGAAGCUGUGGCUGGCCAUCCAGGAGAUCAUGUCGCUCACCAGCCCGUCUGCCCAGCCCACAUCUAGAACGACCACAGGAAAUGUCUGGUUAACACACGAAGAGAUGGAAAUGCUCGCAGCCACGCCGCAAACGACACUUGCAUACGGGGACAUGAACCACGAGUGGACUGGCAACGAGUGGCUCCCCAGCCUGGGCCUCCCGCAGUACCGCAGCUAUUUCAUGGAGUGCCUUGUUGAUGCCCGCAUGCUGGACCACUUGAUCAAGAAGGACCUCCGCGGGCAGCUGAAAAUGGUUGACAGUUUCCACAGAAACAGUUUCCAGUGUGGAAUUAUGUGCCUGCGAAGGUUAAAUUAUGACCAAAAAGAACUGGAAAGAAAAAGAGAAGAAAGCCAGAAUGAAAUAAAAGAUGUCCUUGUUUGGAGCAAUGAUUGAGUGAUUCGCUGGAUCCUGUCUAUUGGUCUUAAAGGAUAUGCAAACAAUCUCAUAGAGAGUGGCGUUCACGGUGCACUUCUGGCCUUAGAUGAAACGUUCGAUUUCAACGCACUGGUGCUGCUGUUACAGAUCCCGACGCAGAACACACAGGCUCGUGCUGUCUUGGAAAGAGAGUUUAACAACCUUUUGGUCAUGGGAACUGACAGAAGGUUCGAUGAAGAUGAUGAUAAAAGCUUUAGGAGAGCACCUUCAUGGAGAAAAAAAUUUAGACCAAAGGACAUUCGUGGCUUAGCUGCUGGGUCAGCAGAGACUCUCCCUGCAAACUUCCGCGUUACUUCUUCUAUGUCUUCAUCCUCUAUGCAGCCAAAGAAGAUGCAGAUGGACGGCAAUGUAUCAGGAACGCAGAGGUUGGAUUCUGCUACAGUCAGGACUUACUCCUGCUAAAGCCUCCUGUUGUUUACCCACACUACUUCUACAGAUGAUUAUGCAGCAUUUUGAAUCCGACAAAGACUACAUUUUAGAAUCCAGUGGAAUCUUUAAUCUGUUAAUAAUUGUUAUAUGGACCCUAAGGUAUUUUAUUACAGAGUUUUUAAUUAGUAAAAAAAUUCAUGAAUACCAUAGAGAAAAUAUUUUAGAAUUUAAUGUUUCUUAUAUUUAUGUAAACUUAUGACUCUUCAUUUAUAUAGUUACUUACUUUUUCAUGUAUAUCCAGGCUAUAAAUAUCCUUUCAAAUCAAGUUCUUAUACCUAAUUUUAGUCUUUCAAAAGAAUGUACUGUAAUGCUUGUAUGUAUAAAUGCUAUGAAUAAAUAUAGGGCUUUUGUAAAUUGUGCAUUUAUUGUAAUUAUCAUUGUUUAAUUUUUUAAUGAUAAACCAUGAUAAAGGAUUUUACUAUGUUUAUAAAAGUAUCAUGACACAAGCAAUGUGCAUUGUCCUUUACAAAUGCAACCUAGCUCUGCAACAAUCAUUUGGAAAUAAGCAUACUUAAUUUCAAGCAAUUGUUGUAUUUUAAUGACUGACCUUAACUAUACUUUUUCUAGCAAGAAAUGCUUUUUUUCUGCAGCGUGAACAGAUUUUAAAUAACUGGUAUUAAACAUCAGCCUCUAAUAAAAUUUGGACUGAAAGGAUUAUCAGAACACUAUAAAAUCUUAGCACUGGUUAACUCUUUCCUAGCCUAGUCUUUGGACUUGGGCAGCUUGUCUUCAGUGACUGACAGGAGCUGGGAACUGGAAAGAGUUUUCUCAGCGGGAAAGAAAGACAGGUAACCUGGGACUGGCCCCAACGCUGGGAGCCUCCUUCUCUGCUUCCCUCCCCAGCAAGGGGGCGCGGCGCCCUUACACCCACUCUUCGAGGACCAAUCACCAAGCACUGUGGUCUCAUCUCACAGACCUCGGUGCGUAUAACAGAUGAAGGCAGGAGAUCCUGAGAACUGUGUCGUGCAACUCUCAUAAAGGCCUUAUGUUUCUUAUGUAAAUCAUCUUUUUUACAUUUGUUUGUAAACAUGUUUAAAGAAUGAACCUAGUCGUACAUUUUUUAGACUUUGAUGAUAUAGCCAUUUUGGAUUGUAUAAGUAGCAAAUGUAACUUUUCCUUUUUAAGCGGCAUAUUAAAAAGCCAGCAAGCAAUGUGUCAGGUCACGGUGCGUUAUUUAUUAUGCAGCUGAUACAGAUAGAGACGGCAUGUCUUUUUACAUUUGGUUUCUGCUUCUAAUUUACUUGUACAAUUCAUUGUUACUGUUCUGUUUUUCUAUUAAUCUUUUGUGAAAUUCCUGAUCAUGUAACAAAGUAUGUACAGUCUACUUUUGAACUAUUUUUAUCACAGUAUUAUUUAUUGCUUUCUUUCAAUAAAGUACUGAAGCAUUUUCCACUGCCAA